This 569-nucleotide long non-coding RNA is filed under the name Vigna radiata. Its description in RNAcentral is "long non-coding RNA (VRAD_LNC016710)". The record is from RNAcentral. Lineage: Eukaryota; Viridiplantae; Streptophyta; Magnoliopsida; Fabales; Fabaceae.
AAUAUAAUUUAGAUAAAUAUGGUAAAUUUGUAUAAUCUUUCUUUUGAUAUAUUAUGAACUUUUGGUAGAUGAUGUUCCUUUCUUGGCUGCAUAAAUACUUCUUGUUCUUCCUUUUCUUUAUCAAGGUCUAUCACCUCUCCAUAGUCAUGUUGACUCACUGGCAAGUGUACCAGAUCAUGCAAGUAAUAUAAUCGGUAAUGUCUGAUAUCGUUCUUUCCAAGAGACUCGAAAGGAUCGUUCGUGUGAAUCAAAAUCGUAAGACUUGCAGAAAAAGAUUAAUUGUGGUGGAUGCAAAGACAGAAAAUAAACAUGCAAUGUGUUGAUUCAAUUGACGAAAAAUGCUUUGGAUGAAUGGAGUUGUUGGGGGUUUACAAUUUCAUCUAAUUCGCUCUCUCUUAUCUACUCCUCUUGUUUAAUGUGCUUGAUUAUCUAAUUGUUAUGCAAACUUUCUUGGCCUACCCUUAACCCGAUCCCUCGGCGAAAAGAGCCUAUUACUAAUUACCGGCUUGCUAUCCCUAGCCUCCCCUAGCAAUUAGCAAUGCAUUACCGAACAGAAGCAAAGACAAUUG